GCGCUGUAAAAAAUUUUUUUAAAAAAUAAAUAAAAAACAGCAUGCAAAAUUGCACACAGAAAAUUCCACGAAACAGCGAGGCCACAGUUACAAAUAAUCCUUAUCUUAAUUCUCUGUCAGAAACUCUCUCCCUUUGUUGUCAAGACAAACAAGACUUCUUCUAAUUAAUUAGCCUUCACAAUGGUUUACAAAGCUAAGAUCACCAUAUUAGGAACGUCCCUUGUAAAUGACAUAAUAAAGAACCCAGAACAGAAAAAAGCUGCCUGAAACUGACCAUUUAAGAAGAGUGAGAAGCCUCACACAGAUUACAUGCAGAUGUAACCCGGUAGAGAAAACUGCCUUUGUUAUUUUUUUCUUGUUUUCGCUUUAUUUGUAUAAAUGUAUUUUCAGUCUUUUAUUUUGAAAAGCAACAUUUAUUUUGAAAAAAGGAAGUGUGAUCCUCCAGCAAACUUUAUUUUUCCUGUUGCCGGAUCACAAGGGAUAAAUGCCUUUUUCAUUGGUUGAAGGUGGUUUUAGUCCCGUCUUCCAAAACACCAGACCAUCAUUUCACAUGAGCUAGGUCUUUUCGCACGUGGAAGUAGAUGAGACAGGCCACGGAUAGCUCAUGCGGAAUUUUCUAACAUUUUGGCUAGGUUUUUUUUCCCUUGUUCGUGUGGAAGGAACUAAGAUUCUGGAUUACGAUGGAUUCUCUCCGGAUGGAGAUGGCGAGCCUGAGCCCGGACUGAACUUUGCAGAGGAACUCACUCUUCUUCCUCGACGGAGACUCCCAAGUGGUAACACACAAACCACAAACGGAAGAGAAAAAGAACUAGACUAAGAAUUUCUGACUUGACAAAUGACCAAAGACAAAAAGACAAUUGAACAUUGAGCUCAAAUGACUAUUUUUGGGGUUAUUUUUGUUGCCGGCUUAUUCUGAUUAUUGCUAUUGUUAUUAUUACCAUUACUACUGUCAAUGUGGAAUUUGCGUCUUGUUUAUUUCAUUUUUGUGCAAAAUAAUAACCGUUGCUGCUCAAA
Molecule: long non-coding RNA, 1014 nt
Organism: Oreochromis niloticus (Nile tilapia)
Lineage: Eukaryota; Metazoa; Chordata; Actinopteri; Cichliformes; Cichlidae
Exons: 2
Source: RefSeq, a predicted model, not a curated record